This 400-nucleotide ribosomal RNA is filed under the name uncultured bacterium. Its description in RNAcentral is "bacterial SSU rRNA". It matches the Rfam family "Bacterial small subunit ribosomal RNA", at positions 975 to 1375 of the family's 1533-position model. The record is from RNAcentral.
CUGGGCUAGACAACAGUGGACCGUCCUAGAAAUAGGAUUUUCCCUUCGGGGACCACUGGUUCAGGUGCUGCAUGGCUGUCGCCAGCUCGUGCCGUGAGGUGUUGGGUUAAGUCCCGCAACGAGCGCAACCCUCGUCCUUAGUUGCCACCAUUCAGUUGGGCACUCUAGGGAGACUGCCGGCGUUAAGCCGGAGGAAGGUGGGGAUGAUGUCAAGUCAUCAUGGCCUUUAUGUCCAGGGCUACACACGUGCUACAAUGGCAAGUACAAAGCGCUGCAAACUCGCGAGAGGGAGCCAAUCGCAAAAAGCUUGUCUCAGUUCGGAUUGGAGUCUGCAACUCGACUCCAUGAAGCUGGAAUCGCUAGUAAUCGCAGAUCAGCACGCUGCGGUGAAUACGUUCCC